CCUACGGGAGGCAGCAGUGAGGAAUAUUGGUCAAUGGGCUUACGCCUGAACCAGCCAAGUCGCGUGAGGGAAGACUGUCCUAUGGGUUGUAAACCUCUUUUGGCAGGGAGCAACGCCGGCUACGUGUAGCCGGACUGAGAGUACCUGAAGAAAAAGCAUCGGCUAACUCCGUGCCAGCAGCCGCGGUAAUACGGAGGAUGCGAGCGUUAUCCGGAUUUAGUGGGUUUAAAGGGUGCGUAGGCGGACUUCCAAGUCAGCGGUAAAAUCGCGGGGCUCAACCUCGCCCCGCCGUUGACACUGGCGUUCUUGAGUGGGCGAGAAGUAUGCGGAAUGCGUGGUGUAGCGGUGAAAUGCAUAGAUAUCACGCAGAACUCCGAUUGCGAAGGCAGCAUACCGGCGCCCAACUGACGCUGAAGCACGAAAGCGUGGGGAUCGAACAGGAUUAGAUACCCUUGUAGUC
This 460-nucleotide ribosomal RNA is filed under the name uncultured bacterium. RNAcentral's name for it is "partial 16S ribosomal RNA". It matches the Rfam family "Bacterial small subunit ribosomal RNA", at positions 338 to 795 of the family's 1533-position model. The record is from RNAcentral.